UUCAGUUGGAUUACAUCCUGAAUGUGUUAGCUUCAGUUGCAUUACAUCCUGAAUGUGUGAGCCUCAGUUGCAUUACAUACUGAAUAAACGAGCUUCAGAUACAUUACACACUGAAUGUACUAGUUUCUGUCACAUUAGACACUAGAUGAACAAGUUUCAGUUGCAUUACACACUGGAUUUACGAGUUUCUGUUACAUUACGCACUGGAUUAACGAGUUUUUGUUACAGUACACACUGGAUGAACAAAUUUCAGUUGCAUUACACACUGGAUUUACGUGUUUCUAUUAAUUUACACACUGGAUUUACAAGUUUAUCUUACUUUACACACUGGAUUUACAAGUUUCUGUUACAUUACACAGUGGAUUUACGAGUUUCUGUUACAUUACACACUGGAUGAACAAGUUCCAGUUGCAUUUCCUACUAAAUGUUGCACUGUUUCUGAAUGUACAUGCUAUAGUUGCAUUACAUACGGAUUUACUUGGAUUACAUUUGAAUAUACGGGAUUCAGCUGCAUUAUUGAAUAAUUUGACCUUAAUUUCUUUGAAUGACAAACCAAGACCCAGCAAGCAAGGCUAAAUAUGUCCCAUAUGGGCUGAAUCUGGACAAAAAGCCCAUAUGGGGCCCAUAUAGGACCCAUAUGUUUGAGAAUGCCCAGAUGGGACCCAGAUGGGACCCAUAUAGCUGCUCAUCUAUAUUAAUUGGAUACACAAAGGGAAACGAAGAUCAUUGUUAUAAUGAAAAUAUGUAAACAUCGAUACUAUGUGAAAAAAGUUCAUUAUUUCAUGAAUCGGCUUUACAUCUUUUGCCAUGAUAUGCCCCAGAUAGGUCCCAUAUGGGUCCCAUAUACUCGGCAUUAUCAUUAUAGUAGGGCAGUGUAGAUGGUGAGGCACGAUAUUGUGGCGAUGAUAUUUUUCCGUAUUUUCAUUUUUUAUUACUUCUCAAAUAUAAACCUUUUGCAAUUGUGUUUUUAGUAGAAAUUCAGUCACAAAAAGAAAUAAUUGUCACGUGACAUUUUAUCGACGCGCGGAUGAUGAACGUGAUUGAGUGAAAAUACAAUGGUUCAACUCAUCUUUAAAGAAAAGGUAAAGGUUCUUAUUUAACUUUUAAAGCAACUUGUAUUUAUAUUUAUAGUAAUUUGAUGUUAAACAAGUGAAUUACUGAUGACUUUCAUGUAGAAGUAUUGUUUGUGCUACGAUUUUGUAUUUUGUUAUAUAAUUUCGUGAUAAUAUAUAAAUUAUAAAGUAAAGGCAUUCGGGAUGGCAGAUGCCAAAACAAAACAAAACUAAAAGAAAUAUCGGCAAACAAAUGGUUAAUGCAGCUGUGGGGAACCUAUUUACAUAUAGACCUCCAAAGAGACUUUAACAUAUUCUUUUCUCAUGAAUGGAUUCUGACAAUCAUUAAUCUUUUAUCCAAUUUAAAAGUGCACCAAGCAUCGAGGCUGUACGAGGAUAUGAGCCAGGGUGAACAGCCUGCCACUGCUGCUAAUGGUGAUGAUGAGGAUGAUGGCCCUGUUACAGCCAAGACCAACACCCCCCAACAUUCCAGCUACCCGUUCAUUAUUCGAUGCUCGGUAGAGCAGAAUCCAAGAAGAUCGGGACACCUGGAUCUUUGUGAUUUUAGAAAACCAGCAGGAGCAAUUGCGACAGCAUACGCAGCCUGCUCCUGCGUUUCAUCCUGGCGAGAGGUUCAGCACAAGAUGCAGUUCCAAGUGAGUUGGCAGAGGGGGUAUCUUUCCCCUUCAAAACUGUGGUAGAUUUGGCAGCGUUCAAUGAGCGAAAGGCACAAGCGAAUGCUGCAACAUCCGUUGUAAAAUACUUUGCAGAAUAUGGUGGGAGUGACACAGUGAACACGGUUUCCCAGAUAAUGAAGACGGUGUUGACAACAAAUCUGGCCCGCCAAAACAACCUUAAGGAAACCAAACAAAAAAAGAAACUGUACAGACUCCACUUGAUAAACAUCUUGUUCAGAUGUCUACAAUUAAACCCAGCAACACGCUUUAGAACCGCAAGGAAAUGGAGGGGGCCAUUUAGAAGUGGCUUUCCGAGUCUCGAGGUCGUGAGGUUGGCCGCAAAGACCGAGCAAGGGUCACCCCGAUGCUUCCUGAGUAGAAUGUUGACUUAUUUACUUACCAAAAAAAUUCAGAUUUACGACUCAGAAUUAAACCAACAAAAAUUGUCAGAAUAUUUUUCAAAUUGAUUAUGUACAAUAUGUAUGCUUCUAUUGUUUUAUCAUAAACACAUCAAUGUCGUGUGACAUGUUAUGUAGUUUGUAUGCAAAAUGUAUCACGAUAAUGUAAUAAUGAGAUAUCUCCAACUUUUUCCCUAAAUUAUCAUAUCGUUAAGGGUUGCAAGAAGAGCAUUUCUUAUCUAUAUUUAUAGGCAAAUCCAUGUUGCUUUUACUUUUUUGUAUAAACAUAAGACAAACUGUCCAUGACAAAUGAGAGAACCAUCAACAAGACCAAUAUGUAUAGUUCACAUUUGGAUGAUUGUUCUAAAGAAGACUCUUAAAAAGCGAAACCUGUUGGCAUUGAAUAAUUAUCAUAAUAUCACGGAAUGAUGUCGGUUUUUGUUUUACUAUAAUAUUUUCUUAUCCUGGGUACACCAUUUUAAACUUUGAUACACUCACAAUAAACUUAUUUUAAGAUGAAGUAAGAAAUUUGGCUAUAUGAAAUAAGCUACUUAAGGGUGUUACGCUUAAGAACUUUCGAGAAAUUGGGGCCAGAUGACUUUAAUUAUAUCAACCCCAUUUAUUUCCCUUGUGAUAACAGUGAUCCCAGAUUUGUACAUGGUAGAUACAUUUUUUUAACCUAUGGAUUGGGUGUGUAUAUAUUAAUUAAUCCUUCUUGAUAUACAACAAUGAAUCAGGUCUAAAUGAUAAAAUUUUAUUAUGUAAAUAUUUGUUAUAACUUAUAUGCUGUUGCUCUUCUUUUGUUUAAUAUGUAUUUUGUAAUGUAACUCUUCAUACAUCGAGGAAAUAAGGAUAUAUAUGUUUUAACAUUCAGUCAUGUCAGUUCACUAGUCAGUAUUACAAGGUGCAUUAAUUGUGUUAGUCAAUAGCUGUGGUUUGUGUUUAAUUUUCUCUCCUUUUAAAUUCUUUUUUAUUUUGCAUGUAUGAUUUUUGUUAUUGAAUCCAAUGUGCCAAUUAACCUGAAACUGUUAUUUCAUUUCUGGUUUGAAACGCUGCUUUAUGUCUAAGCAAUAUUGUUAUACUUGAAUGUGUAGAUGCACUCCAUGCUCUGUUUAUAAGAGUUGUGCGUCUUUCGAUUUGUGUAUGUUUUUAAACACAUUCUUUAAAGCAUUCGGAGCUCCUCGGCCAUUUUUAUCGAAAACAACCUCGGAUGUAAGCCAUUACAUCAGUUGAAGUAGUUUGUAAAUUUCUUAAUUAUAUCAUUAAUUAGAUGUAGGGUUUUAGAGUUGUAUUUAUUGAUCUAAGUUUAAAUUGAUUGCCAGUGAAGUGUAUUAUUGCAAACAUAAUUAAGAUUCCCAAGAGUUAAGUCAUAAAGUUUAACUGCUAAAAAAUUUACUACGCGAUCUACUUGCAGCGGAAUUAAACGUUCCUCUUUUUGAGUAUGUAAACCGUCCAAAUACAUCAGAGGUUGUUUUCAAAAAUGGCCGAGGAGCUCCGAAUGUUGUUAAAGCCUUUAAAAAGUGUGUUUUGUUACAUGUAAUUUUUGACACGCUUUUUCAAUUUGACAGCUUUAACUGACAGAUACAAUCAAUAAAACAAAGUUUUCACUUAUCAUUAAGUUAUUAAUCAAAUAACCAUAUAAAUGUACUAGAUCUUUUUAGCUUGGUAUUGUCAAACCAAACUGAAAAAAUGUGUCAUAAUUUCAGUCACAUUUUUCUUGUGUGCCACUUAUAUUGCCAGUAUUACGCAAAAUCUAAACAUUGUCAGUAUGUAAUUUUUGUUGAC
Molecule: long non-coding RNA, 3912 nt
Organism: Mya arenaria
Lineage: Eukaryota; Metazoa; Mollusca; Bivalvia; Myida; Myidae
Exons: 4
Source: RefSeq, a predicted model, not a curated record